This 796-nucleotide ribosomal RNA is filed under the name uncultured bacterium. Its description in RNAcentral is "bacterial SSU rRNA". It matches the Rfam family "Bacterial small subunit ribosomal RNA", at positions 8 to 761 of the family's 1533-position model. The record is from RNAcentral.
AGAGUUUGAUCCUGGCUCAGAGUGAACGCUGGCGGCGUGGAUUAGGCAUGCAAGUCGCGCGAUACCCUGGUUGGAGAGAUUGAAGCCGCAAGGCGGAUGUCAAUUCGGCCGGGGAUAUAGCGGCAAACGGGUGAGCAAUACGUGAGUAACCUACCCAUAUAACGGAGAUAACCUCGCGAAAGUAAGGCUAAUAUCCGAUGUGUCCGGCACCUCAUAAGGGGAGCCGGGUAAGGGUCCCGCAAGGGAUUGUAUAUGGAUGGGCUCAUGUUCUAUCAGCUAGUUGGUAGGGUAAUGGCCUACCAAGGCUUUUGACGGAUAGGUGGCCUGAGAGGGUGGUCACCCACACGGGGACUGAGACACUGCCCCGACUCCUACGGGAGGCUGCAGUCGAGAAUAUUUAGCAAUGGGCGAAAGCCUGACUAUGCGACGCCGCGUGAGGGAUGAAGGAUUUCGGUUCGUAAACCUCUUUCGAUGGGGAAGAAAUGACCGUAGUAAUACGGGAGAUGACGGUACCCAGAGAAGAAGCCAUGGCCAACUCCGUGCCAGCAGCCGCGGUAAUACGGGGAUGGCGAGCGUUACUCGGAUUUACUGGGUGUAAAGGGCAGGUAGGCGGCUUUGCAAGUUGUAGGUUAAAUCCUCUGACUUAAUCAGAGACAUGCCUUCAAAACUACAAAGCUUGAGGAUUUGAGAGGAGAGCGGAAUUCCCGGUGUAAGGGUGAAAUCUGUAGAUAUCGGGAGGAACACCUGUGGCGAAAGCGGCUCUCUGGCAAAUCCCUGACGCUAAGCUGCGAAAGCU